GACAACUUUCAACGGCGGAUCUCUUGGCUCGUGCAUCGAUGAAGAACGCACCCAGCUGCGAUAAGUAGUGUGAAUUGCAAAAUUCAGUGAAUCAUCGAAUCUUUGAACGCAAAUGGGGCUCUCGGGUCCUCUCGGGAGCACGUCUGUCUGAGUGUCGG
Molecule: ribosomal RNA, 158 nt
Filed under: Zoanthus durbanensis
Lineage: Eukaryota; Metazoa; Cnidaria; Anthozoa; Zoantharia; Zoanthidae
Description: partial 5.8S ribosomal RNA
Rfam family: 5.8S ribosomal RNA
About the family: 5.8S ribosomal RNA (5.8S rRNA) is a component of the large subunit of the eukaryotic ribosome.
Source: RNAcentral